CUGCGCUCGGCCCGACGCCAGAAAUGCCAACGCCUGGCCACCAGCAGAUCCACGCCGCCACCCUGCGCUGAGGACGCCGGAGGCCAUGGGCGGGCUGCCUGUCUGCGGAAGUGGACAAGCUUGCAUUCUAUGGAAGUGAGAUAACCUUUCAAGAAGACAGCUGAGAGAGCACAGCUCUGGUUUGCUCCUGGCUCCACGUUCUCUCUUAUUUGUAUUCAAUAAUUUAUGCCAGAAAAUGGGGUGGGGAGAGCCCUGCGUUUGCCACGUUCCGUGAUGUUAAUACUCCCACCAUGGCUGAUUUCAAGCUACCGACAUUUUAACAACUGGCUAUCUUAUCUCCUUUCCCAUCUUCUCAAACAUAUACACAAUUGGAAGCUCCCUAAGAUUAAUCAAUUUAUAUCUCCUAGGCACAUGAUUUCUAUACUGGAAAUGCACCCUGUGAAAGGGUGGUGGAGUAUCUGACCACAACCUGGGAUGAAAGAUGCUCAGAUUCUCUGAGAGGAGACCCUGGGAAGACUGGAAACGGCGUGCUAGCCAGCCAUGGACAUGGACGUACAGAGGAAAGACUCAGAGGGGGGUGCGGAGAUGGAAGUCAAGAUGCCAUCCGUCCACAGAGCAAGGCACCAAGUUUCAAUAAGUUCUCGGGUCUAGUUAGCCCUUUCCUUCUCAUUAGAAGCCCAGGUGGUGCAAACAUAUUUGAAAUAAUCCAAGGAAGGAACCACAAAACUGAAGACUGAGUUACUGUGGGAUCCAGAAGGACUGGGGAUGGUGCUUGUUGAGGCCCUGGACAAUGUGCCAUGACCCUGGGGGAUCUAUCUGUUCAGCUACAUGAGUGCAGGGCCAUAUGCAAGGAGGGUUUGAGCAGUACAGGGAAGUUUGGCCUUUGUGGGCAGGUACGACUUGAUGCUUAUGGAAUGCCAUUUCUAAAGGUUCACUGCAUUGCUAUUCACAUCACACUCUCUUCAUAAAAUGAGCCAGGGAAAAAGAGAGAGAAAGAAUUCACACCCUAUUGCAGAUAUAGAUAAAGCAAAAGGCAAUAUUUACUAUGCACCAGGCACUGUUCUACUUUUCACACAUUGACAGUUAAUCUUCAGGACUGUUCUAUGUAUGAGUUGGGUGCCGUGAUUAAGCCCAUUUUACAAAUGAGGAAACUGAGGCACAGGCUGCUUUCGUAACUUGCCCAAGUUUACACGCUAAUAAGUGGCAGACUGAGAUUGAAGCCUGGCAGUAUGGCUCAGAGUAUGGGCUCCACCAUGGAGAGGGUCUCUCCUCUUAAUCACUGAGCCCUGGCCAUCGGGCGUCCUGGGUGUGUACACAUUUUCUUUUUGACUGUGACCCUGAGUGUGGCUCAUCAAGAGUCCUGAGAAGCCCGUUCCUGACUUGUGGUGGGGUCUUGCGGGGCCGAGGUACGGUUUGGUUUGGGCUUCUGGGCACUGGCUCUGCUUUUUCCUCCCAGAAGAGAAAGGAGCCUUGCCAACACCAAGUUUACACAAGAACCAGGAGGAGGAAUAUCUGUGAUAGUCCCUUAAACGAAAGUAAACAGAUUGCUAGUGUGAGUUCUUCGUGAUGAGGCUUAAAUAGAGGUUUCCAGGUCAGUCCAGGCUCUGGCAGACCAUGUCCUUGCAAGCAGAGUGUCCUACGCCGGAUUCUGGGUCAAAGGGAUGCUCUACUGAUGUACUGCUUCUGCUCCUACCUGCAUGGCCUCUCUCUUCUGGAAAACAUUAAAAUAUGAACUUGGCCAAUGAAGUUGAAGACUUUAUCUAAACUUACAUACCCCACCUGGAACACUGAAGUCAUAAUAAGUAUUUGCUGAUGAACGAAGGGAUGAACUAAUGAACAAAUGGUGGUUUCCCUCUUCUACCUGGUACUGUUGGGGAGACUCACUGCCAGUGACUCCUACCGGAGAGAGAUUCUCCUCCUGGACUACAGAUCCCCUUGCUACAGGCCCCUGGCUUUGCUCAGGUUGCUGCCCUUGAGACACUGGCUCCUCGAGACUUUAUCCUGUGACUUUGUCCCCACCAUGUCCUAUGUCCUGCAUGUGUGGGGCAGAAACAUCAGAGGGCUAUCAUGUGGCUAAGCCUCAAGGUUUUUCUCAUGUUUGAGUCAGGAGGAAGCAAGGCGUGAGGUUCUUCAUCCGCAGCCCCAUAAUCACACGCUCUCCCUCCAGCAAAGGAAAAGAACGCAGCCUCUCCCUCCUUUCAUCCUGCCAGUGCUUCAUUCAGGAAGGUCAGAUUUGACAUAAUUCAGACUCACGUCCGAGGAUUUAUUUUAUCAUGUGAGUCACAUUUAAACCCAAAACAGUAAUUUCCCCCCGUUUUCUAUAAAAAAUACUUUCAAUUUUUAA
Lagenorhynchus albirostris (white-beaked dolphin) is the source of this 2344-nucleotide long non-coding RNA. RefSeq lists it as uncharacterized. The transcript is spliced from 2 exons. NCBI's taxonomy places the organism in Eukaryota, Metazoa, Chordata, Mammalia, Artiodactyla, Delphinidae. The record is from RefSeq and is a predicted model, not a curated record.